UCUUUUACACUUCACUACUUCCUCUGUCACUGCAUCCACUAUCUCUCUCGUAAUAUACAUAUAUAUAUAAUAAAAUACUCAACUCUCUUCCUCUCACGUUCAAUCUCUCUCUCUCUCUCUCUCUCUCUCUCUCUCUCUCUCUCUCUCUCUCUCUCUCUCUCUCUCUCUCUCUCUCUCUCUCUCUCUCUUUGCCACCAAACACAAAGAAAUAAUAUACUCCCACUUUUAUAUUAUACAACACUUUGUUAUUUUUGUCGGUUUUUCCUAAAUAUUUUAGAAAAUUGUAUAUUCUUUUUUUCUAAAGUGGAUAUUCGUAAAACGUAAAAUCAUUUUAUUGAGACGAAAAAGAUUAUGUCAUAUUCCUUAAACUAUUUAAAUGUAAAAUUUGACUAAGAUUUAAGUUUUGUUUUACAUUAACUAUCCUCAAUAGAUUUAUUUAACUGUAAUCGACUAGGAUAAAUAUAAAUUUUUUACUAAGAAAACCCAAAAGUCAAUCAUUAUUUGAAGUGUAAUAAAAUAUUUAAUUUACUCCAUUUUAAAUGCUAUUUUGGGGUUUAAAAGGUAUGGUAAAGAAAUAGAGAUUCGAAACCAAUAAGUUCGACAAAAAAACAAAAAUCAUUUUAGCAGUUCGUACCUGUAUAUUUGCAGUUUUAUUAAGUUAACCUUACCAAUCUGUUUUCCUCGAAUGGUUAUUAUAUAACUCAAAAUUGAAAUGAUCUGGAAAAUUAGAUCGGAACAGAACAACACAUGUAGUAUAUGUUCGUAAGAAAAGAUUUUGCUAUCUUAUGAAUCAGACGAUAUAUUUUCAGUACGAGUAAUAGAGCAAUGGAGAACUUUGUGAAUCUACUUUUCAGUUUCAUCAGCUCUUUCAGUUCGUUCAGUUGAAAGUUUCGGCCAUGCUCCUGAAUCUUGAAUCAUUGAAACUAGGUUCUUACAAUCGGUGCCAAAAACCUGGCACGUCGAUAACUGUAGCAUGUACUCCAUUGCCCGUGAAAGAGCCUUAAGCUCCGAGUGAAGUGGUGAGAUUCUUCUUCGUUGGUUCCUUCCUCCCAUUAACUGAAUUCCUCCUCCUCUUGAAUUUAUCUGUGUCCAUCCAUAACCACUGUGCGUCAGGAGACUAUGAUCCAUCUAUCAUACAUCUUUCAGAGAUUCAUACAUGUUCAUGAUGUUGCAUUUCCGCUGGUACUUCUUGUUUCUGAUUAGAUUCAAACCAAGCAUGGCACUCUGAUUCAGCGUGUCAGACAGUUUUCAAUUGGUCACUGUCUAUCCUUCUGAAUAAAUUAUCAUUUUUCGCUUUCCAAAUGUGCCAAAUAAUCCAAGGGUGUGAAUCUCUAUCCAAUUCAGAAUCUUCAAUAUCAUUUUUCGAUAUAAUAAAUAGUUUAUAUUUGUGAAUUGGCUGGCACUGGGAAAUAAGAAUGGUGGGGUUGGGGUACCUGCUAAAGCCAAUGUUUGUAAAGCUGGCAUGCCUUCAAAGAUGGCUUAGUUUAUAUUUUCUUUAUCUACUCCACAUCUAGGACAAUGAUUGUUGCAUCGCAUAUGACGAUGACUUAGGUUGCUUGUCAUUACUUAUUGUCCCGAGAUCGUUUGCCAAAUAGAAUGUCUGAUUUUCGGUUAAGCUUUUAUCUUCCAACCAAAGGUUUGGAGCUUUUUGAUACUAGUAUCUAGCUGUGUCUCCAUGAUUUCCCUGUUAAGCAGGUUUGUUGCUACUUAGUAUCCAGAUUUAACAGUGUACAUACCAUUCUUUGUAUAGCUCUAGCAAUAUUCAUCUUGCUGAUGUCCUUGAUUUAUGGCCAAAGACUGGAUCAAAGGGAUAUCCUCCAGAUUGACGUAAUUUUCUAAGAGCUCGGAGUUCCAUCUUUUAGGGCUCCCUAUUAAUAGCUUACUUAUUGGCAUCACUGAAUGAACCACGGGUGCAAUAGACAUAGCUGGUCUUGCUGGUAUCGUUGGAAUCCAAAGGACUUCCCAAAUUCUAAUAUCAUGUCGAGAAUGUACUUUUUGUCUAAUUCCUAAUGUAACUAAUGGAUUUUCUGCCAUUAUGCUCGUCCAUCCAUAUGAGGAAUUGUUAGUCUUGUUUAGUCGCAAAGGCAAACUACAUCUGAAGUAUUUUCCCCUCAAGACUCUUGCUAAUAAGGAAUCAGGGAACUGCAUUAGUCCCCACAACUGCUUGCCUAGUAGGGCAAGAUUGAAUUCAUGGAUCAUCUUGAAUCUUAUUCAUCCCUCUUCCCUCAACCUGCAAAGCUUUUUCUUUUUUGUCCAAUGAAUACCUAUUUUAGGUGGAUUCAAACUCCACCAAAACUGUGUAAUGACACUAGUUAGAUUCUCACAAGUCUCAAGCGGUAGUAGAAGAGUUGACAUUACGUAUGUAGGUAGAGCUAGUAGUAUAGAAUUUAUCAGCACUUCCUUUCCUCUCCUCGAUAACCACCGACCUGUCCAACCAUGAACUCGAUUUUGUAAUCGUUCUUUUAGGAAUGCAAAUAACUUCUCUUUUGAGGUACUGAUGUCCUCUGGGAUUCCAAGAUAAGAUCUCAUCCCUCCUUCAUUUGCAAUUCCAGUUGAGGCUUUAACUUCUUCCUUCACAUGUUCGGAUAUCUUCUUACCAAAGAGAAAAUGAUUUUUCAAAGUUAAUACACUGGCUAGAGGCUAUCCCAUAUGUCUCAAGAGCUUUCAUGGCUUCAUCACAUUCACAGGGAUCCGCCUGACAGAAGAACAAACUAUCAUCAACAACAAUAAGGUAUGAUACCGGGGGGCUAGUGUGUGAGACACACAUUCCUGUUAUAUUGUCUUGAUUCUCCGCGUGAUUAAGAAGGCUAACAAGCGCUUCCAUACAUAGAAUAAAUAUGUAAGGAGACAAAAGAUCUCCUUUGCGCAAUUUCCUCACAGGGGUUAUAUUUCCUCUCGGUACACAUCGUGUUAUCCAUUCAAUCCAUAAGUGUGAGAAUCCCAUUUUCUACAUAACCGCACUUAUAAAUUUCCAUUCGAAAUGGCCAUUAGCUUUACUCAUAUCUAUCUUUAUUGCCAUACACAUAUUUCUUCCGUCGGGGUCUGUCUGGAGAGCGUUAAACAUCUCAUGUGCAAUCAAAACAUUAUCAGUUAUCUGUCUUCUGGCAGCAAAGGCUGAUUGGAUUUCAGAUAUCUGGUUCGGUAACACCUUCUUUAAUCUUUGGCAUGACGUUAGAUAUUAUCUUGUAGCUCGCAUUGCAAAGACUACUGAUAGGUCAAAAUUUUGACAUUUCAUUCGGCUUUUCUUUCUUUGAGAUGAGACAAAUGUUGGCGUCGUUGAGUCAAUUAGCCAUUAUUCCAUCAAAAAUGAAUUCAUUAACCAUACUAGUUAAGUCAUCUUUCACAAUGUCCCAGUUUUUUUGAUAGAAUAAGGUUGUUAGACCAUUGGCCGAGAGGCCUUUUCUGGGUGCAUAUCAAACAAGCUAGCUUAACCUCCCAUUCUGAAAGAAGAGUCAUAAGAUCCUCAUUCAGCCGGUCUGAUAUUAUCGUUAUAACAUUUUCCAAGGCUUCAUCAUUGAGCUCAAGAUUGGAAGAUCCAAAAGGUCUUUAAGUAAAGCAAUAGCUACUAAUUUUUCCUCAUCUUCCACAAUAAUCCCAGCGAAAUCUAGAAGACCUGUGAUUUUAUUUCUGGCUCUUAUUUGUUUAGUAAUAGCCUGGAAGAACUUGGUAUUCAAGUCUCGUUAUCUAAGCCAAAAUAUUAUGCUCUUCUGCUUCCAAAACGUUCUUCUACGUUAAGAGCAUCAGUCAGUUCUUCUAAUGCUGCUCCUAUUUAUCCAGUUGUGGCCUCAUCAUCCGAAUUAAGGAUAUCCACCUUUUGUUUUAGAUCUUCGACUAGUUUCACAGCAUUUAUGUCCUUUUCUCUUUUCCACUUUCCUAGUGCGUUCCUGCAGCUCGUUAUACAUUAUAUUUGCAUCAAGAGAGGGGUCUGAAGAGUUCUAUCCCUUUACAAUUAUUUUCUUUAUUUCUUCACUAUCAAGCCAGUGUUUAUCAAAUUUGAAAGCUUUUCUUUUCCUUGUAAGUUUGGAUAUGAUAUUGCAAAUACCGGACGAUGAUCUGAUCCCCACAUAUGGAGGUAUUGUACUUUGGAAUGUAGAAUGUGGAAACUUUUCAUGCCAAUCUUCGUUCUCAAGGGUAUAAUCAAGACGACACCGAACAUUGCCACUGGUCCUUUUGCCAGCCCAUGACAAUUGAUUCCGUGUAUAUGGGAAUUCAAUCAUACCACAAUCUGAUAUCAUUUGAUUAAACAAAAGAAAUGAAGUAUCAUAUCGUCUUUUUCCUCCUUCUAUCUCAUGGUGUCUUGUUAUUUCAUUCAAGUCUCCAGUCAUAAACCAAAAACCAUCUCUAGUUGUGGCAAAAUGCGUAAGACGUUUCCAAACCUAAUAUCUUCUUUCUAAACAGGAUUCCCAUAAACGAAUGUCAUGUGAACAUUUAUUCCAUUAAUGACUGCUUUUACAUCAGUCAUUCGUUAUUCAAAAAUAAAAUACCAACUUGAAAUUCAUCCAUAAAAAACAAAGCUAAGCCACCGCUUUGGCCAAGUGGCUCAACGGUAAACAAUUUCUUAAGUCUGCAUGAAUGUUUGCAACAACGGACUCCUAUGCUUUUGACACAUUUCCGUGAGGCGCCGAACGGUGAGGUCGUUCCCUAUCAUUCGAAAAUUUCAGCUAAGUGUCUUCAUCGAUGAAAUUGGGGCGGAUGUUUGGCAUCCACCAUACCUCUUUUCUGAGUGAUUGAACUUAUCUUUGGCUUCCGUGAAACUAUGGCUUUCAGCUUGCUGCUGUCUGUCCCCUUCGAACUCGAGUAACACUAUCUCCUUGUGCUGAUGUCUUUGCGUUGAGUUAACCUUACCAUUAAAAGAGCUCGACAAUAUCACUCUAUAUUUAAUAGGUAAUGUCUUUAUGAUUAACAAGUUUCUAAGAAAAGCGUUUAGUUUCAUUAAAUGCCAAACAUGGGAACACGAUAUAUUUUGGGUGAAGUAUGAGAAAAACAAUUCCCAUCGUGCUGAUUUCACCUUCGACGAGUUGUUUUUAGUAUGGAAUGAGCCUUGGACUGUUAUUCAGGCCCACAUAUAUAAGUACAAUACAACACUGAUGAUUAAUCAUUCUGUGUAGUGUAUUAUACAUUGCACUUCACUAAAAAUAGUGAAAGUGGUAGUGGAUGAGAGAGACGCUCGAAUCUUGAAGCAUAGUCGGUCCAGUAACAAUUCGCAUCUUAUUCACUGCGUUAAUCCUCCCUAUAUUUUUUGGCAAUGAUAAAACUAGAUAACAUAUGUUUUCGAUUUAUGUAUUGGAAUAUACUCUUUUAUUUAAACAUCUAAUCACUAAAUCAAAAUUUAAAUUCAAAUAUAUAUAUAUAUAUAUAUAUAUAAUUUCUAACUAAAAUUAUUUUCAGAAUUUUCUCUUUUUGAAAAGAAAUGUGUGUUUAUUGCUAUUAUAUGGUAUUUUUCUUUAUAGACUUGAUUUAUAACUAUUAACUAGAUUUUGACCCGCGCUUAGAAAGCGUGGGUUUUUCUUUGGAUUGUAAACAAAGUUUUUGAAUUAGUAUUUUGGAAUUGGUAUACAUUAUUAUGUUACAAAGUCAUUAUAUCGAAGACGGGCAUUUAUUUAAAAUGAUAUAACUUAUAAAUUAGUUUAUAUAAGAUUUUGUAUGUACAUUUUUUUAUAAAUUUUUUAUUAAGUCUGGACAUUUUAAUUUCAUUUUAUUUAAAUUUUCGUUUAUAAACCAAAACUAUAUUCAAUUUUAAUUUCUAAUUAUAUUUUAUGAUAAUUUAAAUUAAAAAUAACUAAUUUUUGAAAGUAAAUUUAAAAAAACCUAUAUUCAAUUUUAAUUUCUAAUUAUAUUUUAUGAUAAUUUAAAUUAAAACUAACUAAUUUUUGAAAGUAAAUUUAAAAAGAUUCUAAGAAGAUUUUAAAAUGAUUUUGUCAGAACAUUUUAAAUAUAUGCAUUUGUAUUUUUUUUUUGAGAAAAAUAUGCAUUUGUAUUUCAAAUAAAAAGAUAAAGAUAUUAAAAGAUAUAAUAAUAAACUUAUGUAAAAUAUGAUAUUUUCUAGGAAUGGUCCAAACUUAAAAAAUCACACAUGAAAAGAAGUCAUGACUUCUGUUUUAAUAUAUAAGAUAUAUCAAUGCAUAAUAAUAAUUUUAUUUAUAAUUAAAUUAUAUCAUUAUUAAAGUUUUUACAAAGAUUUUAUAUUAUUAGCUUAUUGAAUAUAUGGAACUUAGCAACAUAAUAUCUGGUUUUAUUUCUAAAUUUGAAAUUUUUAUAUGACAGUUAAAUUAAAUUGGACCUACAUAAUAGAGAAGAAAUAUUUUGAGAUACUGAUAAGAACAACAAAAAAAAUCUUAAAAGAGAAACUAUAAUAUAUUGUACUUACAAACUAAUUUUGUAGUAAAUAUUUUUAUUUGAAACGGAAAGGAUAUUUCUUUCUACCAAAAUCCUUUAAAGAUUUUUAUAAAAUAUAUUUUGAAAAUUAAUCAAUCUAAAUGGUUGUUAUCACUAAAAUAUAAUUAAAAUAUCUAUAUGAUUUUAAUUUUCGUUCAUCAAUCAAAAAUAAAUUUAAUUUGAAAUUCUAAUAUUAUUUUAUGAUAAUUAAAAUUUAAGUUAAUUAGUUUUCGAAAAUAAAAUUUAUCAUGAUUCUGAAUAGAUUUUCUUAGAAUUUUCUUGAACAAUAUUUAUUUGUAUUUUAAAUAAAAGAUAAAGAUAUUAAAAGAUAUGAUGAUUAAGUUAUGUAAGAUUUGAUAAACUUUCUAGAGGAUGGUCCAAAUAAAAAAAAAUCACACAUGAACAAUGUCAUGACUUCUGUUUUAAUAUAUAAGAUAUAUAGUGAUAAAUAUGUAUAGUUAUAUUCAUAUUUGUGUAUUUAUAAGCUUUCAACAUCUGUUUCUUCAAGCAGAACGUAUAAAAGUGAUAAUAGUUUUGGGUGAAUCUCCUGUAAUAGAGAAUUUUGAACUAGUUGUUAAUUAAUAUUAUCUUGAUAAGCUGAUUCAAGUGGCUGUGAUCCACAUGAAUCGGCUUUCUCAUUACUUGCUUCUAAGUUCUCCCUUUUAGUUUAUUAAUUUCCUCCUUAGAUCCUGCAACUUUUCUAGGGUUUUGGCCUUCUACCGUCGUCGGAUUUCAUACAAGCUUCACAAGUCUCCAUGUGCAUUUAAAGCUUGUGGUUUAAGUAUGUUGACAUUAUAUAAUCUCCCAAGGAUUAAAUUAAGCUAAUUCCACUAAUCCCUAGGUAAACGUCAAGAUAACAUAAAGAUGAAGUUAAAGUCCAUACCUCUGCAACCAGAUUUGAGUUUAUAAUCUUGUAAUGUUGUUCAAGAACCAGUUUUGGGGUUUGUGUUGAUAUUGUGUGUUGUAUAGAGUUUGAAGGAUGGUGAAGGCGAAUGUAUUAUCGAAAAUUAGAGGUUUCAGUGGCGUCAACAGACCAAUCUAUGUCUUGGCUGGUUUGGCAUUUCUCAUCUCAGUAGCUACUCUGGCUAAGUUCAACUACAUCACACCGCUAAGGUUCUCUGGUCGGUUCUGUAAUAAUCAUGGAAGCUUUGACGGCGAUAACUAUAUCCUCGGAAGCCAAAUGAGAAAGACGAUAGAAUCCGCCAUCUUCAAAAUCCACCAAGAAAUGGAUGAUCUCAAGGCCUUAGAAGCUAAUUCUUCUGCUCCACCAUCUGAUUCAUCAGCUUCAGGAUCCAUGUUUAGGCAUGUAGCUUUCCUUGCUGAUGUUCUUUCACUGAUUCAGUCAGUUCAUAUGGAGUUGCCUUCCUUGGAAGAAGUGGAUCAUCCGUUGAAGCAGAGGAACGGUGACCCCGGCGAGCAUUUCAUGAGGGAAGAGAUCAAGAAAUACAUAAAGAUCAAACCUAACCGGCUUGGAAAGCAGAACUUCAUGGGAGCUAAUGGAACGUUCACUUCGAUAGGGCACGCUUGCUUCGCCAUGAAGAAAGAUCUAGAAGAGUAUAUGGACUAUGACGUGGGGGAGAUCUGCAACGACGACUGGAGACUAGCUCAGAAGCUUAUGGUUCACGGUUGCGAUCCGUUGCCUAGAAGACGGUGUUUCUCCCGUGCACCGCAGCUAUAUUACAAACCGUUUCCGAUCAACGAGUCUUUGUGGAAGCUUCCGGAUAACCGGAACGUCAGAUGGGGACAGUAUAAAUGCAAGAACUUUACUUGUCUUGCAAGCAACACGACAGCAAGAAAAGGGUUCUUCAAAUGCACUGAUUGCUUCAACCUCACGCAUCACGAGUUGCCGAGAUGGGUUAACCGAGGAGAACUCGAUCCAGAGACAAACCAAACUGCUGAUUUCUCGAUACAAGAAGUACUUGAAAUCAAACCGGGAGAGAUUAGGAUCGGUUUGGACUUCAGCGUUGGCACGGGGACUUUCGCAGCGAGGAUGAGAGAAAGUAACGUCACCAUUGUAACAGCAACAAUCAACCUAGGAGCUCCAUUCAACGAGAUGAUCUCUCUGCGUGGUUUAGUCCCAUUGUACUUAACCGUGAACCAACGGUUACCUUUCUUCGACAGCACGCUUGAUAUGAUUCACACGACGAGGUUUCUUGAUGGAUGGAUCGAUCUGAUACUUCUGGACUUCGUGCUGUUUGAUUGGGACAGGGUUUUAAGACCAGGUGGGUUGUUGUGGAUAGAUAGUUUCUUUUGUCUGAAAGAGGAUUUGGGUGAUUACAUGGAGGCGUUUAAAGCUUUGAGGUAUAGGAGACAUAAGUGGGUUGUGGUGCCUAAGAGAGAUAAAGAUGAUAAAGAAGUUUUCUUCUCUGCUGUGUUAGAGAAACCUCCAAGACCCUUUAGAUGAUUCAAUCAUUGCCUAAUGCUGUGUGUUUACUAUUGUCUUUGUAACAGAAAAUGUGAAAAUACGAUAUAGUUUGACUAUAUGUUCCGAUUAUUGUUAUUGUUCUUCUUACAGAUAAAAGGUGUUUUACAUAUCUGACAUUAUAUAUUUGUAAUAAAAAACACUAAAGAGGAUGUUAUUCUUGUUCAUGUAUUUUAAUUGAUUUGUAAACCCACAUGUGAUUUACAAAUCAAAAUAAAAUUUCUUAAAUUAAAAAUCUAACGCAUGGAUUUUAAUUAGUAUUAUUAUUUAUAAAUCCAAAUAUUUUUAGUGGGAUUUCUUUGAGUAACUCGGAUUAAAUAGAUCUAGUAAUAUUGUUCAAAACGAUGUUUAAUACAAGAAGAAAGUAUUCUUGGAACUGCUGUUCUUCCAAAUUGUUUUACAUAUGUUUGGUUUUUCAUUUAGUGUCAAAACGGGUCACCUCGUUGGACUAGUUUAUCCAUCUACAAAUUAACUUCUUGUAAAGCUAUGGAAACGAUAAAGGAGUUGAUGAUGGUCCAAAAACCCAUCAAGUUGAAUGAGGGAAAUUUCGGACAUUGGAAGUAGGGGUGGGCACUUUACCCGAAAUCCGAAGUGGCACCCGAACCCGAUCCGAAAAACCCGAACCGAAAUCCGAACCGAAGUAGCAAAAUAUCCGAACGGGUAUUAAAUUAGGAGAGAUUGGAUAUCCGAACCCGAACGGGUAAUAUCCGAACCCGAAUGGAUAUCCGAAGAUAACCGAACAUAUGUAUAAUUAACCUUAUAUUUUUAAUUUACAUCUUUCAUUUUAUAUAAAAUAUUUAUAUUGAUACUACACAUACUUUAAAUUCAUAUGAUAUACAUACAAUUACGUAGAAGAUGAUUUGCUAUGCACUUAAAAUACAUGUCAAACUUUUUAUUUCAACAAUUAACAAAAAGUUACAUCCAAAAUUUAAAAACAAUAACCAAAUUAAUGUCUUUUUAGUUUGAAAAUGUUAUGUCCAAAUCUAAUAACCAUUCAAUCUAUUAAAAAUACAAAAAAUAGUUAAGUGAAAGUUAUAUAUUUAAAUACAAGAAAUUUGAAAAAUGAAAAUUUUAAUUUUUUUUUUCAAAAUCUAAAUAUCCGAACCCGAUCCGAAAUAACCGAAACCGAACUAAAAAUACCCGAACCCGACCCGAAGUACAGAAAUACCCGAACGGGUUCUACACCUCUAUACCGAAAUACCCGAAAAUCCGAAAUACCCGAUCCGAACCCGAACGGGUACCCGAACGCCCACCCCUAAUUGGAAGGCACGAAUGAGACGCAUAAUGCGUGGAAUCGAUUGAAUCCUCUGCAGAAACUAUUUUGGUCGUUUUGUGACGCCAUAAAUGUUGGGAACUGUGCAUAGUUUAUAUAGAGAAUAAAUCAACUUAAUUUCCUAAACUAAUAUGGAAUAAUAUAUACUAGAUAAUGAUAAGUUUUCUAUUUUAAUAUAUUGAUGUAUAUCAUAAUAUUGAACGUUGGAGAUCUAGAAAAUCGACUUAAAACUAAUUGGUGAUUAGUGGAUUGACCAUAAAUCUUUAUAUAUUAUUUAAUAUCUCUUAGAAUUUUCCCGAUGUGGGAUAUAAUAUCCCUAAUAGCUUGCUUGCUUGUUAUAACCCAUUUCAUUGAUCGUCUCAACCAGACCCUCACUGGAAAAAACUGAGUACUUAGUUAGAGAAUGUUUGUCUUGUGUUGUAGGAUGCUUGUGGAUUCUUUGGAUGCACAAAUAUAUGAAGAGCAUCAUCAAACAAACCGUUGUUAUCUGAGUUUGACCAAAGUUAGAAACUCGCUCUUUCUUCUCUCAAACAGAUCUAUCCAUGUAGGUUUUGAUUUUUAGUUUCGUCACAUUUCUAUUCAUGGUUACUAGAGCUUAUAGUGAAAGUAUGGGCUUACCACAACGCGAGACGCAAUGUCUACACUCUACAUAGAUCUUGGGACUGGUUUGAUGCAGGAAUAACCACAAACAGAAAGACCGGAGAAGCAAAUGUGGGUGAAGUGGUUUGAAUACACAACUCUGAAAACAAUGGACGAGGAUCUUGCAGAGGAAGCAUGCAUACUCAGAAGACUGUGGCCAGGUUCAAUAGAGAAAGAGAAGCAAAGGAUGAAUGUAAAGUUAAGCUGAAUAGAAUGAGAAGUAAAAAUCAUCGCCAGAAAGUCAUCAGAAAAAUAUGUAAAACCACCACUUGAAGAUGCUUAAAAGAACAGGUUAAAGAUUUAUUUUUCUUAGGUCAUAAGAUUUGUUUCGUUCAUUGGUAUAAAAAAAGGUCUCAAGUCUCAAUCAUUUAUCCUCACUCUCUCGCAUCUCUCUUCGACAGCUUUAACUCUCAGGCGGUGAGCUUAAGGAAGAAGAAAGAGAGAAGAUGGAAGCUGGAAACACUGAGAAGGCUGAGUAAUCGCAUGUUCUUGAGAUCAAUCUCAUCUCGGCGCAAGGACUUAAGGAACCGACAGGGAAGCUCCGACAAUUUCAAACUUAUGCAUCCGUCUAUGAUGAUUCUUCCAGGUUACUUUGGAGUUCCUCUUCAGCAAAACUUCUGGCAUUUCUAUCGAGAUCUGUUCUGUUGGUUACCUGCGAACAUCUGAUCGGAACCGUAUGUUUCCUCCUGAGUAAUUUCCUACCAACCACCACCUUUAAAGUUCCGUCUCUCGUCGUGCUUCAGAUCCGUCGUUCUUCUGGAAAUUUCCACGGUUUUCUUAACAUUGCGGCCUGGUGAAUUGGUGAUCGACGCUUCUGAGCUCCCCGCUGAUUUCUUUAAGUCCGUUCAAGAAAAAGGGGUUGAGAGUCAUCGGGAACAAAAGAUGAUAAAAUCCAGAUCUGUUGUCAGUUUCGAUGACCAAGGCGGUAGUUCGAAAGAUAAUUCGUUAUCUGGAUCUGUAAAUUUCUCAUACGUUGGUACGGACUUAAUGUGGUCUUCUCCUCUUCCGUCUCCCCUUAGAGACUGGAACGCAAUUCGAAAUCAGGCGGGAUAGAAUCAGGUGAGAUCGUCAUCGGACGGCGGAGGAUUGAUGUGUUGUUGCUUGAUGAAAUCGUCGGGCAUGAUACCGGGAAGUUGAUGGACGGCUGAGAUCUCUCCACGUUUGAGAAGUCAUUUUGGUUUUUUUUUUUUUGGGAUUUUAAUGAAACAAACCCUCAACUAUAGGCCCAUCUGUUUUUUAACCCUUAAGUAUUAUAAUAAUGAAAUAAUUCCUUAACUAAAAACUGUUAGAAAAUUUAACUUUCUGUCAAUGGAAAUGUUAAACCCAAAAACAAUUGUUGUAAUGCCAAUUAAAUGAACAAAACGACGAGGCAUAUGGAUUUAUUACAAAAAAACGGCAAGCCUUUUUUAUUAAAAGCAAAAUGAAGUUUGGCUGUCACUAAACCACAAUAAAAAAAAACAUCGGUUUGAAGACCAAGAAAAAUCAGAUAUCAAAAACCCUAAAUUUCAAAAGGUUACGGCAAGUAUGAUACAGGUCUCAAAAUAAUUGGUGUAGGCGACAAAGACAGUUUGUUAGUACGAUUUCAAAGACGAGUGUUCCUUACUCACCAUUCUCUGUAAUCAACUAAGAUUUUGAGAUUUCUACUUCAUCUAGGUUUAAGAUGAUAAGGUAAAUCAAAUUCAUUUCUUGGUUUUUGUAUGUCAACAUUAGUUUCAACAAAAACUGAUCUGUAUCACAAAAUAUAUGAUCAAAACUUAGAAGCAAACAAAAUAAUAACAUACUGAGCUUUUCUUUGUUUGUAUGCAGGACCAGCUUUUUCGAUUAUAUGUGGAUGGAUACUGGACCUUAGAAAGUUUAUAUAUUGGUGGUGAUAUAAGGCGGUGCAAGGUAGAGUUCGAAAAUCCAAGUUUAUCAAUGUUAGUUGAUAUGGUUCAGAAUGAAGGGUUUGAAGAUAAUAUGAAGAAGUUUUCAUAUUUCCCAUCUGAAGAAGACAAUAAUCGGAAGGAAUUGUCUUGUGAUGUUGAUGUUGUAGAAAUGAUUAAUUGCACUCAUGAGUUGGAAUGUAGGAAUCUAUAUGUUGUUAGGGAUGAUGAUCCAUAUUUGGAAGAUGUGCUUGUUGGAGAAGAGGAAGAGGAAGAGGAAGAAGAACCUGAAGAUGAACAUACUGAUUUUUAUCGUGAUGAUUAUGCUGAGACUGAUGAUUCAGAUGAUGAUGGCCAGAAAGUUUCUUUUUUUGUUGGUCAAGCGUUUCUCUCCAAAGAAAGUUGCAAGAAAACGAUUGAGAAGUAUGCUAUCAAAGAGAAGGUCAAUAUUCGUUUUCAAAAAUCUGAAAGUAAGAAAGUAGCGGCAGCAUGUGUACAAGAUUGUUGUAGUUGGAGGAUAUAUGCCUCAGUAAACAGCCGGUCAACUAAUAUGGUUGUGAGAUCAUACAACUGCACUCACACUUGUUAUUCAACAGGUGUAGUCAAAUUAUAUAGCGCACCUAAGAUAGCCGCUGAUUUUUUGAACGAGUUUAGGACUAAUCAAAAUUUGUGUGCAGAUCUAGGGCUGUUCAAUAUGGUAAAACCGAACCGUUCCAAACCGAAUCGAAAUAGACAAUAUGGUUUGAUUUUGGUAUAUACCAUAUAAACCGAAUGGAUAUAAUUUUAUAAAAACCGUAGGAUUUGGAUAUGGUUUGGUAUAUAACCGAUUAAACCGAACAAAACCGAUUAAAAUUAGAAACAUGUAAAUAUGUAUCUAUUUUAUAACAAUACAUGAAAUCUAUUUGUUACAUAAGUUAAAUUUGUGUUAAUAACUAUUACCAUAAUUUAAUUGUAAUAAAAAAACCUUAAUUUAUAAAACACUUGAACUAUAAUUAAAUAACAAUACAUCGUAAUUCAGACAUCUUAUUUUCUAAGUCUUCUUUUUUUAUCUUUUUGCUUUAUUUUAGUAUUCACUAAAUUAAUGUGAAUAUUAUAAAUUUGAUGAACAAUAAUUAAUGGAAAAUUUUCACAACUUUUUUCUUAUCUAUAAACAAACAAAGCUUCGUGUUCAAUCAAAAAAGCAUGACUUUAAUGAACACUAAAUAUGGAAGAGUGGAAAAACUUUUAUUUCAUGUUUUUGUUUUGUUUCAUAUUUUUAUUUUCAAAAUAUCAAGCUUUGAUUUUAAUUAUAGAUUUGAUUAUUUUAUUCGAUGGUAGAAGCAUUUUUACUUUUUUGUUCAUUUAUUUGAACAUGUAAUAUAUUUUUAAUAAAUGAAUGUGUUGACAAUAUGACUCUAAAAUUCAUAUAAUACGAUCUCAAACUAAAUAAUUAUGUUUUUUGGUAUAAAACCGAAUAAACCGAAAACCGACGGUAUAUAAAUCGAACCGAACCGAAGUAAAUAUGGAUUUAGAAUGGUAGUUAUAUUUUACUAGCCGAAAUACCGAAAACCGAAAAAACUGAACCGAUAUCCGGAUUGAACACCUCUAUGCAGAUCAGAUGAUGCAAAGGUUGCUAAUCCAAGGUCUUCGGGUUCCUAAAACAAAAUGUCAGAGUGCAAGACAAAUUAUGUUACACACAAUUAGUGAUGAAUAUGCUGAGCAGUUUACAAGGAUGUUUGAUUAUGUAGAAGAGCUUCGUGAGUCAAAUCCUGGUUCAACUGUGAUAUUAGGGACAAAAGAUAAGGUUUUUGACAAGUUUUACACAUGCUCUGAAGCUCAGAAAACUGGAUGGAAAAGUGCAUGUAGACGUGUUAUUCAUUUGGAUGGAACAUUUCUUAAAGGACGGAUGAAAGGACAACUGUUAAGUGCUGUGGGAAGAGAUCCAAAUGACCAAAUAUUUAUCAUUGCAUGGGCUAUCGUUUCUGUAGAGAACAAAGUCAACUGGGAGUGGUUCAUGACAUUGCUUCAAGAAAAUUUAGAUUUAGAGCUUGGAAAUGGACUUGCACUAUCAUCGGAUCAGCAAAAAGGGCUUCAAAGGUGUCCUUCCUUACGCAGAGCAUAGAAUGUGUGCUAGACAUAUAUGGUCCAACUUGAGGAAAAGACACGGUGAGUCAGGAAAUCUGCAUGGUUUAUUUUGGAAGUGUGCAAGAGCAUACAAUAAGCAAGUUUUUGACAGAAGACUUGAGAAGAUGAAGAGUGCAAGACCUGAGGCUUAUGAAGAAGUGAAGAGAAGCGGGUUCUAACUGGUCAAGGUAUUAAAAUUCAAGUUUAUUUUUCUGCCAUUUAUUUGUUUCAUAAGUGUUUCACUUCUCUAACCAUAAUCUGUUUUUUUUUUCUUAUUGUAGAGCAUUUUUUUAAUGAUUUUACAAAGUCUGCUGCUGUAGAAAACAAUUAUAGUGAGUCAUAUAAUGCUGUGUUAAAAGACGCUCGACGCAAACCAGUGAUCGCAUUACUAGAGGCCAUAAGAAGACAUGUUAUGUCCAGUAAUUUGCUAAAGAUUAAAGAGAUGCAUAAUGCUACAGGGCUGAUCACACCGAAGGCAAAAUCAGUUAUAGAAAAGCGAAAAAAGAAUCUUAAGUGGUGUUAUCCACUUGCUUCAGGAAGAGGUUGGUAUGAGGUGGACCAUGGGAGAAAUAAGUAUCGGGUUUAUGUUCGAGGUGAUGUUUCUUGUACUUGCAGAGCGUAUGAUGUGAGUGGUAUACCGUGUUGCCAUAUAAUGUCUGCUAUGUGGACUGAAUAUGGAGAAACAAAGCUACCAGAAACUGUUGUCUCUGAUUGGUAUUCAGUUGAGAAGUGGAAACAAUGUUAUAGUUCACGGCUUCGUCAUGUGAAUGGAAUGCAAUUGUGGAAAACUCACACUGAUGUUGUAGUUAUGCCUCCUCCGGACAGGAUCAUGCCAGGAAGACCAAAGAACAAUGAUAGAAUCCGUGAGCCAGCUGAAGCUCUUCCAUCCCAGGUUCUAUCUACACGUGAAAAAAUUCAAAUGGUAUUUGCAUUUACUACACAUUUACUCUGUUUUACACUGAGUAGUAUCAAUUGACAUUAUCAUCUUCUGGUCUCUAUUUGCGUUUACAGACCUGCAGUAAUUGUCAAGAAGUCGGACACAAUAUACGCUCAUGCAAGCAUGAAGCCGUGUCUAAACCACCUAAGAGACCUCAAGGAAGACCGAGCAAAAAGCAUAAGAUAAUGGUAGAAGAAGACGUUAUCACUCAGCCAACACAAUCCUCCAUAGUUUCUUAGAAGAUGAUACAAACGUUUCUUUUCUUACGUUAUGCCUUUUGAUGAUGUCAGUUUGUCUUGGUGAAACUAUGUUACACUUUAUGAUGCUCUGUUUUUUUUGGUAUACAAUGUGAUGUUCUGUUUUAAUGAUAAAAUUAUGCUAGUUUGAUCUAUGUUGUUGAUAAAACAAAAGAUAAUGGUUUAAGGAGAUGUUUUUUAAAUGAGAAUAUUUAGUUUUAUAACUCGUUUUCAGCUUAUUCAAGUUCAAUAGUUUUAUUAAUCUUAUAAAAAAUUGAAAGUUUGUUCGUAGAAACUAAGGAAUGACAAUGAUAAUGCUUGUUCACGUUCAAGUCUUAAAUUUAAGAAUUAAAGAUUUUUUUUCUUAGGUUAGUUGUGAUCAUGUCCGUCUCAAACAUAUAAUGGGCCAUGUGCUAUACAAAUUUUGAGGCUCAUUUCUUCAUACAAAUAUGCUUGGUUGUGAUGAUGAUUGUCGCACACUCUGUUUUCUGAAAGUGUGUGUGUGUGUUUUUUUUUUGGUAAUCGUGUGUUUUUUUUUACUAAAGAUUAAGACACCUUGUUGUUUUACUUGUAGAAUUUUGACAACAUGUUGUUUUGUUACAAUAAAACAACACUUUCUUAUUGUUGACGGAAGCUGUCUAGGGAUUAAACGUUCUUAAAAGUAAAGGGUUAAUUAUACUAACAGACUUUAGUUCAGAGGUUGUCUUAUUGGAUGACCGGCUAGGUUCAGGGUUUGUUUUAUUAAAUUCCCUUUUUUUUUUGGUCAAAGUCAUUUUGGUUUCUUAAAGCACACAUCUUGGGCACCUGCACUGCACCCCACCCCUAAAUCAUACGUCGUCGUAAGGAAUUUCCAGCGAUUAUUAGUCUUCUUAACAAAUUCUAAAAUUUCUUGUUGCUGCUAUGAAACAUAAAAUUUCUUCUUGUUGCUAAGAAACAUAAAGUUCAUUUCUUUUUGUCAAAUCAUUUCGUUUGUGAACUCUGAAUAAUUUGUUUCAGUAUGAGUGAGAAGAGAUAUCAUAUAUCAUGACUCUCUAUUUAUUCGUCUUAAGAACAAACCAUAUAUUUUUUAAGCAAAAAAAAACCCCAUAUAUUUUUGAAUUUGUUAACUGCAGCCUUUUUCCGAAACAAGUACUUAGGUUGAAGCAAUCAUGAUAUCUUUACUUGCCUAUGGUGUAUCGUUCUUUCAUGCAUGUUUUUAUCAUCUUCACCAGCUGAACUGGGGUCAACUUUUAAAUAGAUUUCAUUGCCAGUGGAUCUAAGAUAAUAGUUUCAGACUACACAAGAUACAUUGUUGAAACAGGGAGAUUGUACAAUAAUCACAUUACAAGAAAAUUCCAGAUAUAAAGAUGGUUUAUUUUAUUAUUUAAAAAAGAAUCUAUUCGGUCCCAGCGAUCUUCUUCUUCAAGGAAUCAAUAUCCUCAGCCAGUUCCUUUCUACUUGACUGAAACAAAGAUGAACAGAUAUAAUUUGAUUAAUGUCAGAUCAUUGAUGCUUUUAUAGAUUUUAUAACCUUAGUCGCAGCUAUGUUACCUUGAAGAGGAGGUAUCUGUAGACGAACCAUCCUGUGUAGCCGAGACCAACAAGUUCCAUAACUUUGGGAAGCUACACUCGAAACAAACAAACAUCAGUCGGGUCAAACCCAUUACACUUUCUGAUAUCUACAACUAAAAGUUUUUUUUUUUAAAAAGGAUUGUAUUGUUACCAGAGGAACAGAGUUGAUGGCACCAACAACAAUGGAAGAUAACCAAACAGCAACAAUGGCUCCUCCUCCAUAUAUUAUUACAGUCGACUUGUUCUCAAGACCAUCCCACUGCACCAAAACCGAUAAUCAAAACAAAACACAAAGCCAAUCCAACUCAGUUCAAGCAAUGGCUUCUUACCUUUUCCUUCAAGUCUGUGAAGAGUUCGUUGGUGUCAAUGGACGUUGAGGUCUCAUCUGAUGAAGAAGCUCUCAUCUUCAUCAAUUCACCCUUCUGCGAACCAUUACCUGCGAUUUAAACCGUACAAGAUCUAUUAAACCAAGAUUAUAUUAUAAAACCGAGCUUAAUUUUGAAUUUAAACCACUAUACCGAACCUGAAACUAGCUUCGGCGGAACAGUGAAAGAGGAUCGGCCAAAAGAGCGAGGAGGCAGCGGAGGAAGGUAAGGAACGGCGGAGAAGCGGUCGGAGACGGAGGUGACACGUGGAAUCAUCACUGCCACAGAGGACGAAGCUGCUACUGUCAUCGCCAUCGAAACACACCAGAUAAUCUAUUCUUCUUCUUCUUCACACUCGAUUUUCUUUUCAGCUGCGCUUUUUUGACUAGACAAGGUUUCGUAUAGCAACACGUGGACGUUCCUUGUGGUCUUAUUGGUUGCUGCUCUUAUCUUUAGAAAAUCCAACUGAGUGGUGUUUAUAGAAUGCAAGGUUUAAGGCCCAUUUAUAAUAUGGAUCCAUUAUACAAACCAUUGUAUAAUCCAACUCUUUUGUCGUAUCCUCUCUAUGUCUAGUCUAGGUGAGGGAACAUAUGAAGAACAUGCAUACAUGGAAAAAGGAUCAUUCAAACCGUUGAUCUUGUCUUACGAUAAUUACGACUUAUGCGGAUGAUACGAAAACUAUGGGGAUGACUGGAAGGAGCUGUAAAAAUAAAACUGUAGAUUUUUGUUUUUUGUAGUUGUAGAUAAUUUUGGUGUAGAAUAUCAGCCGUAGGUUUAAAAAGAUUAACAUAUAAAUUUUUUUAAGCAAAAAUAAGUGUUGUAGAUUUAUGGUUUUUCACGGCUAAUAAUAAAUAAAAAAGAAAGAAAUUUUUUUUCACAAACCGAGGUGCAUUCUGGACAAAAAUACUUUUCUUCUUUGUUGAUGGGUACUUUGUGUUCUGGUUGAAAUAAUGUUUAGUUAGUAGACAAUUUAGUUUGUACGAGUUAUUAUAGAAAAGUGAGUUUUUUUAUUUCAUUCUAUUUUCAACAUCUUUUAUUCUUCUUUAUUUCAUAUAUCUAAUAUAUAAAUAAAUACAUAUAUAUGUAUGUAUAUAAAAUUAAAUAUAUGUGUGUUUCUUUUUAUUUUGAAAUCCAUAUUAAUAUAUUUUGAUAAUUUAAUUUUUUUAGUUUAUGACCACAUCAACAUGAAUAACAUAAUAUAUGAAUUGUGGAUAUGUAUUUUAUUAGCACUUGUGGAUAAGCUUUAACAAACAAACUGUGGACAGAGCAAUGUGGAUGGCUAAACAUAUUUGAUUAUAUGCAAUCAAACUUGUGUAUACAACUUUUUUACAAUCAUGUAUUUCUCUGCUUUUUUUUAUUUAAACCAAAAAGAAGUAUAAACAAUGACUUUAAUCUUAAAAGUGGUUUUGUGGAUGAAGAUUCGACAUACUAUGGACAAAGUCUUGUGGAUGAGGUUUUGUGGACACAACAAAAGGAUAUCAAUUAGAAUCAUGCCCACGAAGACAAUAGACAUGUAAAAUUGAAAAGCCGAUGAAGUUAGUGUCCACCAAAACUUAGUAACACAAAAAGAUUAAAACUUUGGCAAAGAUUAAAGCUUACUUCCCGAUGAAAUCACAUGCUUCACGAUUUCAUGAAAGAUCAAGAACUCGUCGAUUAAUCCGCUGCCGCCGCCGUCAAACAAGCUCUUGUUGGUGGAUAUUUAAGAGAGAGUGGAGUUGACACGAAAAAUCGAUCGAGAGAGGAGACAGAAGAUAUUUUAGCAUAGGAUUAAGGUUAGUGAUAAGGGUUCUUGUUCUUCAUCUGGUAGAAUAGAAACAAAAGAUAAUGGAAUUAGGGUUAGUGAUUUGGGAACACAAUUGGGAAAGUAGGCUUUCUCAAUUUAAUUUUUAAAAUUUAAAACAUUAAUUAAAAGCAUGAUUAGUUAGAAUAAUAAUUAAUGAGAGAUUUUGACAAAAAAGAAAGUAACGAGAGAGGAGAGAGGAGAGCAACACAAAAAACAAGAGAGGAUAGAGUAGUGUUUCAAGGGUAUAUUGGACAAUGAACAACUCAAAAGUGUGUGAUAAGUGGAAUAUGUCUUUGAAUGAUAUUAGAAAGUCAAAAUGUGUCUAUAGAUGUAAUUUUUUCUUUUCAAAAAUCUUUACAAAGCAUGAUUGACAAAAAUGUGAACUGUAAAAAUAAUUUAGGCUGUAAAAAGAUCUUAUAAUCACUUGUAAAGCACUUGUCAAUCAACCCAUAUAUGAAUAUAAAGGAGGAAUUCGAACAAGGAACCUUAAAAUACUAAUCUUAUCAAAAAAAAUUUAACCACAUUAAUCUUAUCAAUUUAAGUUGGCAAAAACGGAUUGAAGUCAUCUUUUUUUUUUCUUUGACAACACGGAUUGAAGUCUAUAAUCCACAUCUAUAUUCAUUUCUAUAUUUUUUUUCUAAAACAAAAAUUUUUAGCACAUUUUUGGAGUAUUUUUAUAUUCAUAUAUAUAUAUAUAUAUUAUGUUUACCAUCGCUCGAUUUUAGAGUAUUUUAUUUUCCUCUUGACUGCAUCCACAUUCAAAAAGAAAUGUGCUAAAACAAACCCCACUUAAAAAAAAAAAACCCCCACUAAAACCGAGCGAUGGUACAGCUCUUCCUCACCUCAUGCUUCCCUAGUGCUUUCAACGACUAACCAAUACUCAAUUUUAUCCUUUUUGGAUAGAAAUGUAAUUAUGUAAAUAUAAUUAACAUGGCAACGAAGGUUUGGUUACAAAUGAAUUUGAAAUCCCAUUUGCUAUAUAGCUAAUACGAUCCUAAUUAAGAGCUUCAAAAAGUUUUUUUUUUUUUUUGGAAAACCCCAUAGCAUCAAAUAUAAUUCAAAGCUUGGCUAACUAGAACGAAUCUAAAAAAGUACAAAGAAGCAACAAACUGCAGCAUUAAAUUUUGUUAAGGUUGACGCACUAGUUGCUGAGACCAUGACUCUGAGGUCAAAACUACGCCAACUGAACGAUGAGUCUGAGAAACUACGGCUGGGGAACGAAGCUUUAUUGGUAACAGUUUACGCAAACAUAUCACUUAUAUACGUACUGCAAGUAAUCUACUUGUAGUGGAAAGUCAGCUAGCCGCUUGCUUAGAUUUGUAGCUCUCUAUAUUCCGAGCAGAAAUUGAUCUAAUAUCAUCCUUGAGCAGAAAAGAUUCCUGAGUGCGAUCUGAUCUGUAACCACUUGACUGGUGAUGAUAGAUAGGUUUAGUUAUAUUUUCUAAGCGAAUGGACUAGAGACAAGGGGACGUAGUAGUUUAUGGUGGCUUUAAUUAGAGUACUUUUCAUGUGAUUUGUGUAAAUUUUUCCAAACUUAUUCUGUUUACCAUUCUAUAAGGGGAUGGAUAGCAAAUCUAUUUUUAUUCAUUUCUUUAUUUUUAUUUCAAAAUAGAAUAAAGUUUUAACGUAUAAUUCAUUUUAGUUAAGAAGUUAUUUUAUUAAAAAAAAUACAUUAGACUUAUCUAAAGCGUAUUAAUUAUUUAUAUAAGACGUUAUUUUAUUUUGAAGAAAAAUUGAGUGAUACGAGAUGUUAGUUUUAUUAUGUAUAUCAUUUAAUAUAUAUAUAUAUAUAUAUAUAUCAACGUGCUUCCCUCAACCGGUAACGUGAGCCUGUUUGUGUUACACUGCAAGUUACUUGUGAAAACAUUGAGCAGUUCAAGUUCCAGAGAGCCAAAGGGCACGUCAGGUUAAUAAUUUCAGUAAGUGGCCAAAGUGUCGGAAAAUAUUUGUUGUUCUUUAUGUUGGUUGUUGGUAGGAUUACGUACAAUCAUUUAUUUGUAUUUUAUAGACGAACGAUCAUAUAAAAAUUUUAAAUAAUCAAAUGAUGAAAGAGUCAUUUUGUGACUAUAGUUGAUAUACACGGAGAAGAACAGAGAUCACACAAGUCCUACGCAUUCCAUGGCCGCGGCAGAGAUGUUUCUUAAACCGGUGCUUCAGAAACCACCCGGCUACCAUGAGCUUCACGCGCCUCCUGAAACUCCAAACGCAUUAUCAUCUUCAUCCACGCUUCGUCGCCGGCCACCUAAGUAUAUGAUCCCGCCGUCCUUUUAUCCGGAUAAGAAGAAAAAGUGGAGUCGUUGCCGCGUCUUUUGCUGCUGCUUCUGCAUCACCGUCGCAAUAUUCAUCCUCCUCCUUAUCAUCGCCGUCUCCGUCUUCUUCCUAUGGUACAGCCCGAGACUCCCCGUCGUACGACUCGCCUCCUUCCGCGUCAGCAACUUCAACUUUUCCAACGGGAAACCCCGCGACGGUUUGUCGCACUUGACGGCGGACGCUUCGGCGAGGCUCGAUUUCAGAAACCCCAAUGGGAAGCUACGGUACUAUUACGGCGACGCUGACGUGGCGGUGAUCGUAGGAGAUGGCGAUUACGAGACGAGUCUAGGGUCAACGAAAGUCAAAGGGUUUGUGCAAAAGCCGGGGAAUCGGACGGUUGUGAUCGUUCCGGUUAAAGUGAAGAGAGAAGAGGUGGAUGAUCCGACGGUUAAACUGCUUCGAGCGGAGAUGAAGAGUAAGAAGUUGGUGGUGAAGGUGACAGCUAAAACGAAGCUGGGAUUGGCUGUGGGAAGGCGUAAGAUUCUUACGGUGGGGAUUACUCUCAGAUGCGGUGGCGUGACGUUACAGAACCUGGAUAAACAGAUGGCUAAAUGCACCAUCAAAAUGCUUAAAUGGUACGUACAACUACUACUACCUUGAUUAAUGAUUAGUGUACAUAAAUAAAUAAAUUAUUUAAAUCGCAGGAUUAAGUUGCACUCAUAAGCAAUGAUCAUGAUGAUGGAUAUCAUUUUUCAUCAAAGAUUCAUCAGAACGUUAUACGACUCGAAGUGUUCAGGCUUCACGAAAGUGUCACAGUAUCUGAUUUUUGUUGUCCUUAUUGUUUUUUACUGAAAGAUUGCAUAUAAAUGAUUUGUGAUCCAAUAUUAAACCAUUCGUUAUCAUUUUAAUUUCGAUUGAUUAUAAAUAUGUAUCUCAGGAGGAAUAUAAAUGUAUUCACACAUUCGUGUACGUGUGUUCGUGUUCAGAGUUAUUCAGACAUAACUAACCCUGCCACAUGCUUAGCAAAAUAAAGGUACGUCCUGUUUCGUGCUUUACAAUUCUAUGACACCAUAUGCCGUUUUAUCAAGAAAAGACGGUACACAUUUCCUCGAUAGGUUACUAAAACGGCAUGCACUCUUCAAAAACACACGAAUUAUUCAACUAAUCCACAAGUUACUAAGAGUCAUAAAAAUAAUGGAAAUUUAAGACGCAACCAAAACCUGUAAACACAAACUCAGUAGUAGCAAAUAGGUUUUGCUAUCUAUAGUUGGCCUCUCACUUAUUUGAUUCAGAAGAACACUCUAUCUAUAAAUAGAAAGAAAGAACGAAAAAAAAAGAUGAAAUAGAACCCUAUAGCCUUUCAUCCCUUCAACGGAUGCUGGCAGGAGAUUCAAAUAAAAGCACCUAAGUUUCGAGCUUCUCUUCUGUCUCCUAGGCUACAAAAGUAGAAAGUGUGCUCUCUUCUUGAAGAUAUCAUCAAACUGACUCAGUCUGAUAUCCUAAACUCAACUCCUAAAACGUCUUUCACCAUCUCAUAUGUCACAAAUGUCAAUAUUACUAAUUAUAAAUGUAAGUUAAUUCAUUAAAGGUGUCAGUGUAAUCAACCAUCGUGAGAGUUAACGUAAAAGCGACACAUAGGAAACUGACUUCUCAAAUAAUAUUAUAGAGAUAGUUUUUUUUUAAAUAUUUCACCUAGAAGCAAGUUGCUCCAACUUUGUUUUUGUUUUAAUAGUAUUAAUAUAUUUAUAUUACAUAUAAUGUACACAUUAGAGCUCUUAUAAAACUUAACUAGAUUUUAAUCCGCACACCCGUGCGGAUAACAUUUCAUUUAUAGAUAUAAAAUUUUAUAUUAUUUUGUAUAGAAUAAUUUAUGAUAAUAUAUUACUGUCAUUUUUAAAAUAACUUAAUAGAUGAUAUAUAGUUCUAAAUAUUAAAAUUUAACAUAUGUUAACAACUUUAUUUUUUGUAAAAAUUAUUACAUAAUUUAUGAAUAUUAAUCAUUUUAAAAGGUGAAUGAUAUUUAGUCACUUUAAACGGUGAAUGAUAUUUUAUUUAUUUAUCUUAAUUAAAUUAUUUUUCAAAGUAUAUUGGUUUACCAAUUCAACAUAAUUUUAAUAUGUUUGCACAAAAAAAACAUAAUUUUAAUAUGUAAUUCAUAAAUUACUUCUAUUUUAAUAUAAUGUAGAAUAUACCUAUACAAUUUAUAAAAUUAGCAUAUAAUUUAAUUAUUUGGUUUAUGAUAAAAAUUUAAUUAAAAUUAAUUUAUAAUAAUAUUAUACUACUAAUUGCGAAAUUAAUCAGUGCAUUAAUUAAAAGAAUUUUAAAAAGAUUUUGUUAGAUUUUUUCUCAACAUAUUUUGUUGUUCCUAAAAAUAAAAUUUAAAUUUAUAGUUAAAAAUAGAUUUAUUAUUAAUAUCCUUAUAAUUAUUUAGAAAUAUUAUACAUUAAAUAAACUAAUGUAAACAAUAAAAAAUUAUUUGAAUUUAUGGAUCUAGAUUUCUAGUAUGACUAUUUUGUAGUAGAUAAAAAUGGUACUUUUUUUUUAAUAGAUAAGAUAUAUUAUUAAUUCUAUCAGCUUAAGUGUGUGAUCUAGUAGGAUCAUAUAAUAUCACCAAUGAAUUCAUGAUUGUAACUAGUUUUUAGUAAAACAUUGUAACCACCUAAUAUUGUAGGAUUAUCAAACUUCAACACUAUGACGUUAACAAGAGCAAGUACAAACGACACUCUUGAGAAUUCAGAGAUUUUUCUGCUAUGGUCGAUAGAAACACUAGCAAAACAUAGCAAAUUUAGAUUUUUGACUUACUGUGAGUUUUUGUUAAGUUUUUUCGCCAGAUCCAUAAUCAAUUGUUUUUUUUUUUGAAAAAAAGCAAUAAUCAAUUGUUUUAAUUACAACUAGAUUUUGACCCGUGCAACUGCACGGGUGUUUGUUUUCACUUUUUUAUAAAUAAAUUAUUGUUUUAGAACAUAAGUGGUAUAUAUUUUUAAUGUUAAUCAUAUACUUAAAUAUUUAUAUAACUAUUUCAAAUACAAUAAUUUUAUAAUUUACAUGUUAUAAUUAAUUAAUUGUUUAAACCUUAUGUAUUUGCCACUUCUUAUUAUAUAUUUAUCUUAUUGUAUUUGCAUUUAGUUAUUAAGCAAAUUAAUAUAUUCAUGAAAAAAUAUAUUUAAAAAAUAUUUUGUAUAUAAUUUAGGAUAAAUUCUGACCCGUAUUUCAAAACUGGUUUUCUUUUUACCAAUAUUUUUAUGCUUAUUCAUUUUAGAUCAUUUAUUAUUGUAUAUAUAAAAUUGUAAGAUAUGUUAAUUUUUAGACAUGUUAUAUAGUUUGUUAAUUUUUAGCCGUUCUAUCAUCAUAUUAUAUUUUAAAUAAAUAGUUUAUAUUUAUGAAGAUAAAAUUUAUAAAUUUAUCAAUUGAAUAUAAUUUAUCAUAUUUAUUUUAGUAUAAUAAUUAUAUUUUAACAUGAUCAUGACUAUAAAAGUAGAUAAAAUAUGAUAUAAUUUAUUUAUUUUCAUUUCUAAACGAUAACUUAAAAUACAUCAAGUUAUUGUUUAAAUAUUUUUACACAGAUUUAUUAAAAAAUUUAAAAUAUAAUAUAUAAAUAUAUAUUAUAUUUAAAAUGAAAAUAUAUUAUGAUUAAAGUAGUUACAAAGAUUUUAUAUUAUUAACUUUAUAGAAAUACAUGUUAAUUUUUAUACAUGUAUUAUAUAGUUUGAUAAUGUUAACCCAUCUUACCAACAUAUUAAAUUUUAUUUUUGAACAUAAAUAUUUUAUAAUUACGAAAAUAAAAUAUAUAAAUAUAUAAAUUUAAUACAAUUUUAUUAUAUUUAGCUCAAUAUAAUAAUUUUAUUUAGCUCAAUAUAAUAAUUUUAUUUUAAUAUGAUUGAUUAUGAUUAUAUAAUAAAUAAAAUACUAUAGAUUUUUUUAUUUUUCAUUUUAUAUAACUGAAUAUAUUAAUGUAUAAUAAUAUUUUAAACUAAUUUCAAAAUUAGUGAAAAUAUUUAAAUAUAAUUUUGAAAAUGAAGAUCUUGUAAAAAUCUUUUCAAACAGAUUUGUUAGACUCUUAAAAUAAAUAUAUUUAUAUUUAAAAUGAAAAGAUAUCAAAAGAUAUUAUGAUUAAAAUAUUUUAAAAAUUCUAUUUAUUAUUAGUUUAAAUUAAAAUGUAGUAUGAAUUUCUAUGAAUAGGUCCAUUAGGUCCAUUUUUAAAAUAAUCACACAUGAAUCAAGGUUGUGACUUCUGUUUUAAUAUAUAAGAUAUCUCAAGUCUCAAACACCAUAAACAGAAGAAGCCAUAUUUUAGAUAAUAGAUACUUUAAAAUCUUCUAAAGUUAAUUGAUAUCGUUCAAAUGAUACAUUUUUAGCUAACCCCUUUUUUUUUUUUAGCUAACCCCAUUUUAACCAUAGUAUUUUUAGUUUUAAACACAAAUUAAAGGUUUAGUAAUAUAUAGGGGUUGUGAGAUCGUAAUAAUACACACAAGAACCCUCAAUAUAAAGCCUUUACUUAGCACCUUAUCAGUUCAAAUGAUACAAGAUAUAAACGUUAAUCACACAAGUUACAACCACAAAGAAUAAAAAAUAUUUAAAAAAAUAAAAACAGUUCUUGAAACUUUGAAUCAAUGGAGGAAUCAAAAGCGCCUCACGUUGUGAUGAUACCGAGUCCUGGAAUGGGCCACCUCAUCCCAUUCGUCGAGUUAGCUAAACGACUCGUCCACAACCAUGGCUUCACCGUAACCUUCGUCGUGGUUGGCGAAGGUCCACCGUCAAAAGCUCAGAGAACCGUCCUCGACUCUCUCCCUUCUUCAAUCUCCUCCGUCUUUCUCCCUCCCACCGAUCUUACCGAUAUCCCGUCAACGGCUCGCAUUGCAACUCGCAUUUCUCUCACCGUGACCCGUUCGAACCCGGAGCUCCGUAAAGUCUUCAACUCUUUCACGGCGGAUGGUCGUUUGCCGACGGCGCUCAUCGUCGAUUUGUUUGGAACGGAUGCUUUCGACGUCGCCUCAGAGUUUCAAGUGUCACCGUAUCUUUUCUACCCAUCAACGGCCAACGUCUUGUCGUUUUUCCUAAAUUUGCCUAAACUUGACGAAACGGUGUCGUGUGAGUUUAGGGAAUUAACCGAACCGGUUAAGCUUCCUGGAUGUGUACCGGUCUUUGGUAAAGAUUUCCUCGAGACAGCUCAAGACCGGAAAAACGACGGAUACAAAUGGCUAUUACACAACACCAAGAGGUAUAAAGAAGCCAAAGGGAUUCUUGUGAAUACCUUCGACGAGCUAGAGCCAAAUGCUAUAAAGGCCUUGCAAGAACCUGGUCUUGAUAAACCACCUGUUUAUCCGGUUGGACCGUUGGUUAACAUUGGUAAGCGUGAGGGUGACCAGAGUGAAGAGUCUGAAUGCUUAAAGUGGUUGGACAACCAACCAUUCGGUUCGGUUUUGUAUGUGUCCUUCGGUAGUGGCGGUACACUCUCAUGUGAGCAGCUUAAUGAGCUUGCUCUUGGUCUUGCAGAUAGUAAGCAACGGUUUCUUUGGGUCAUACGAAGUCCGAGUGGGGUUGCUAAUUCUUCGUAUUUUGAUUCACAUAGCCAUACUGAUCCAUUAACAUUUUUACCAUCCGGAUAUUUAGCUCGCACCAAAGACAGAGGUUUCGUGAUCGCCUCUUGGGCUCCACAAGCCCAAAUUUUAGCCCAUUCAUCCACAGGAGGAUUUCUUACUCAUUGUGGAUGGAAUUCAACUAUGGAAAGUAUAGUAAAUGGUGUUCCACUUAUUGCAUGGCCAUUAUACGCUGAGCAAAAAAUGAAUGCGAUUUUGUUGACGGAAGAUAUCCAUGUGGCGCUUAGAGCCCGUGCAGGGGUUGAUGGGCUGGUGAUGAGAGAAGAGGUGGCUAGAGUGGUGAAGGGAUUAAUGGAAGGUGAAGAAGGUAAAGGAAUGAUGGAAGGUGAUGAAGGUAAAAGAGUGAGGAAUAAGAUGACAAAACUGAAGGAAGGAGCUUGUAGAGUGAUGAAGGAUGAUGGGUCAUUUACAAAGGCUCUUAGUCAGUUAGUCUUGUAAAUGAAAAGAGAGCUAGAGCAAAACGGUAAGCAUUCAAAUAAUCUUAUAUUUAUACUUUUAUUAAAAUAUGCAAGUGAUUUGCCUCUAGUUUCAGUCUUGAUUGUUUUUAUGAAUGUAUGUGUGUGUCAGUGUGUGUGUUUUUUUUGCGGUGGUCUUGUUAGUUGACAUAGACCCUAUCUUUAAACCACUUGUAAUAUCAGAACCCAGGAUGAGUUGCUCGGCGGUACCAUUACCGGCUGGGUAUAUGAUAAGUGUACAGUUUGUAAAUAUUAUUGUAUGUUCUCUUACCGCAAUAUAUAUAUAUACUCUUUUACGUUUCAAAGCAGACCAAACUGGUUUGUAACUUUAUCAGUAUUACAAUAUCUGUAGUAGUUGAUUCGAUUUUAUGUCGAUAUUAUUCUACUAUGUAACCAAAAUAUAAUUGAUUGGAAAAAAGAGGUAUGUAAUGAAAUAGUAUGAUUACGAAAAAAAUAUAUUAUUUUGUCACAACUAUGACUUGUCAUAUUCUAUAACAUUUAUUUCAGUAUAAUCUUUAAGGCGUUUGGUAAAUAAUUUACUUGUAAAUCUUUAUACACCGUUUCUUAAGCUUGUAGACUAUAUUUGCACGAUAAGAGUGUGUGGCGGCCACUUGCCAAGCCUUAACCUAUCGUCAUUUGGACACUGAUAAGAGUUGCCCGAGAUGCAUGCGCAGUAGAAACAAACGAUUAGUCAUCUCAUUUUAAGUGCUUUGUCCUUCAAAUUUGGGCUCUUUUUGACUUCUCAUCCCUUUCGGAUUUUUUCCUAGUACUUUUUUUAUAUCAAAGCAUAAACUUUUUAUAUUAGAAGACAAAAUGGUUGGGCAUCCCAGAUCCAUAGUAGAAUAAUAACUUCCCUUGGAUUUUAUGAUGCAUUUGAAAACCGAUGAAUGAUAAAAUUUUCAAUUAGAAAAGAAAUAUCCCCAUUUAAUACCCUUCAAUUAGCAUCUCUAGAAGUGGAAAAUUGGAGGAUUGCAAAACAAAAAGAAUAUGAGGAAGAAGUGGACAAAGAGCACAUCCCUCGGAGGCAGAAGCCACAUUAGCUGAUAUAAUUGGAGUUAGGACUAUACUCUUAAAAAUAUAGAGCAUGCUCAUGAAAAAUCGAGCUGAGCUCAGCCAGUUCAAAAGCUAUAAUUCAUUUUGACACUUCAAUAUAUCACUUAUACGUAGCAGACAAUAAACAGUUUGGAGAAAAAAAAGAGAAAAAGGAAAGAAAAUAAUCUAGCUCGAUUUGAUACAUUGGUAUGUACAUCUGUUUUCUCAAAUUUACCAUCCACGCAUUUAAUCCUCCAUCGCCAAUGACAAAUCGAACAAGACUUUAUGAAGAUAGUCCUAACUCCAAUUAUAUCAGCUAAUUUGGGUAUACCUGAAAUACUCGUACUUUUAAUUUAAAUAUUCAAACCCAACCAAUUUGAAAAAUUGUCCAAAUGGGUAUUAAAAUUCUAAACCAAAAUACCAUAAAAUCUAAAAUAUUUGAUAUGAACCCGGUUGGAUAACAUCUACGAAAAAAACCACAAGUUUAAGGUGACGUGGCAUAGCUCUGAGGCGAUAUUUUGGCGAUUAGGGUUUCAAGGUGGUUUCUUCUCCAAGGCAUCUUGCCGGCGCCGCCAAAGGUGCUCCGAUGGAGGCUCCGGCUAAUUCCGUCUCGUCUGAGAUAGGCUCUCCGCCUAGUUCAACUCCGGUUCCUUCUAAAGGCAAUUGGGUUCGAGCGGUCCAAGGUGAACAGAAAGGUCUGAAGAAGUACGAGGUUAACGUGGUGAUGAAGGAUGGAGUGGGAUCGAUCAUGGUUCCUGACGAAGUGAAGGAUGCAUCUCCCUUAUGGGAUGAAUUUCUUAUGGGAAAGUUUCUGGACAAAGCGCCUCACAUCGCUAAAGUCCAUGCUAUAGUGAAUAAGAUUUGGGGUUUGGGAGAUAAAACACAGAUGGUGGAGGUGUAUAUUAUCAACUCGAACACUAUGAAGUUUAGGGUUCCAAACUCUUCAACGAGGAAACACAUCCUUCGGCGGGGUAUGUGGAAUUUGGCUGGUAUUCCAGUGGUUAUGUCUAACUGGUCUCCUUUCAUUGAGGAGGAUCAACCAGAAGAGAAAUCCAUCCCGUUAUGGGUACAUCUCAAACAUGUCCCAAUGAAUAUGGUAUCCUGGAAGGGUUUGAGUUUGAUAACAAGUCCAGUGGGAGUUCCUGUUAGGCUCCAUCCGGAAACCGCACAAUGUAUUAAUUUAAAAAAAAAAAAAAAAAAAAAAAAAAAAAAAAGAAGUUGCCAAGAAUAUUUGUGAAUGCUGAUCUCACAAAAGAACUUCCUAAAUCGAUGAGUUUCAACCUCAACGGUAAAGAGACUCUUGUCGAAUAUGUAUACCCUUGGCUCCCCUCGAGGUGCUCUAACUGUAUGAAGUGGGGCCAUCUGGAGCAAGCAUGUUUGGCUCCAAAGAAGGUUUUGGAAGAAAAAACAAAUCCAGAGGUGGAAGAACAAACAAAUGUAGAGGUGGAAGAUGGUGAAAUUGUGGGUUCAUCAAUUAAUGAGAUUGAUCACUUGGUGAAACAAGCUGAUCCGCAGGGUACGGAGGUUCCUGUUGCAGAUCAGUCAAAGGAUAAGGAAGCAGAGCAGAGUAUGGAGUCUGGUGGGGAGAAUGAUAGGACUCGGGUGUUGGAUGUGGAAGUAGAGGAAAAUAUGGGUUUCACAGAAGUAAUAGUGAGGAACCAAUCAGCAGAAGAGAUUACCCCAAAGGAGUUGGAGUGGUCUGAUGUGUCCCCAGGAAAGCUAGUAGAUCACCUAAGAAGAUGACAGAGCCUGAACAGGUCUUGACUACUUCAAGAUUCUCGGUUCUUGCUUCAACAGAGGAGGAAGAGGAGGUUGAUGCAGAUACCGUCCAGGAGGGGACUGCAGAUUCCGUUCAGGAAGGUUCUGAGAAUGCUGACAACCCUAUGACAGUAGAUACGCUGAGGAAGACUAAUCAAACAAGAGAGAAGGACCAAACUGCGAUUAUCAUGCGGCAGUCUCUACCAAGAGACUCUAAAGAUAAGCACAGGUUUCUAUCUGACCCGAGUGCUCAGAAAGCCAAGGAGGGCGCACCUCUGGCUUCGAGCAAAAAGUCCACUCGCAAAAAUAAUUAAUGUCUGGUUUCUUCUGGAACAUCAGAGGACUCAAUAAAAAAACUAAACACUCUGUAGUUCGAGAAUGGAUCAGAAAGGGAUCGUUCCAGUUUGGCUGUCUACUGGAGACGAAAGUAAAGGAAGCAAAAGCAAAUCGUCUUGCUGAAUCAAUUUUUGGAGACUGGUCUUUCCUGUCUAAUUAUGAAAAUAAUAGAUUGGGAAGGAUUUGGAUUGUCUGGAGUCCGAAGGUUAGAGUGACUCCUUGUUUUAAGAGUGACCAAGUAAUCACUUGUGCCAUCUUACUGGAUGGUAUGGCUGAAGAAAUAUUUUGUUCUUUUGUUUAUGCUGCUAACACAAUGGAAGAGAGAAGGGAGCUAUGGCAGGAUCUGAAAUCACAUCAGGACUCGCCUAUGAUAAGGAACAAGCCAUGGUUGGUUUUUGGAGAUUUUAAUGAGAUAUUGGAUGAAGAAGAGCACUCAUGGAAUGAGGACAUGUCGUUGGUGUCAAAUGGGAUGAGAGAAUUUCAAAGCAUGGCCAACUAUUGCUCGCUUAUUGACAUGUCUUAUCAAGGUCUCAAGCUCACUUGGAGCAAUAAAAGGGACAAUGACUUGAUUUGCAAGAAACUGGAUCGUACCUUGAUGAAUGAUUCAUGGUUGCAUAAGUUCCCUCAAGCUUAUUGUGUCUUUGAGGCGGGAGGUUGCUCUGAUCAUAUGCGCUGUAGGAUUGUGAUCCAGGAGGGGGUGGCUAAAGUUCGAAAACCUUUUAAAUUUAUUAAUGCUAUUGCUGAGUUCCCGGAGUUCCUUCCUUUGGUUAAAGAAUUUUGGGCUACUACGGAUCCUCUCUUUAACUCUACUUCUGCUUUGCACCGCCUGUCAAAGAAGCUGAAGCUGAUGAAACCUCUUCUGCGGCAGCUGAGCAAAGAUCAUAUUGGGGAAAUAGAAAAGAAAACAAAGGUGGCUUGGGGUAUCCUAUGUGAUCGCCAAAAUACUACUAUGCUCAACCCAACACAAGAGAAUAUGAAAGAGGAGUCACUAGCCUACGAUCGGUGGAACUUUCUUUCUACUCUUGAAGAGAAAGUUCUUAGUCAAAAGGCAAAAGUUCAUUGGUUGGGCAUUGGAGACGGCAACAAUACGCAAUUUCAUAGAGCAGCCAGGGUUAGAGAGGUUCGUAACGCGAUCAGAGAGAUCCAUAAAGAAGAUGGUACAAUAGCAAAACAUCAAGAAGAAAUUAAGGUGGAGGCAGUGAGGCAUUUUUCUCUGUUCCUAUCGCACAAGCCGGAGGAUUUCAUAGGCAUACCAGAAGCAGAACUUAAACAACUUUUGGGGUUUGAAUGUGAAGAAACAGAUAUGCGGUUUUUAGACAGGGAAGUAUCAGAGGAGGAGAUUACAAAAGUUUUAUUUGCAAUGGCAGCCAACAAGUCCCCAGGACCUGAUGGGUUUACUUGCGAAUUCUAUAAAUCAGCCUGGCCGGUUAUUGGAAAAGACUUCGUUGUAGCAGUUCAGUCUUUCUUCACAAGAGGCUUUCUACCCAAAGGAAUAAACUCAACUAUCUUAGCCCUUGUACCAAAGAAAGAUGAAGCAACAAAAAUGGGAGAUUACAGACCCAUCUCAUGUUGUAACGUCUUAUACAAGGUACUUUCAAAGAUUUUGGCGAACAGGUUGAAAAAGAUACUCCCCAAGUUCAUCUCAACGAAUCAGUCAGCGUUUGUCAAAGACCGUUUGAUCAUGGAGAAUGUUUUGCUAGCUUCUGAGCUUGUCAAGAGCUACCACAAGCCAACAAUAUCAUCUAGAUGUGCGGUAAAGAUCGAUAUCUCAAAGGCUUUCGAUUCAGUUCAGUGGCCUUUUCUGCUGUCUAUACUCUCUGCAAUAAAUCUCCCGGAAAAAUUUGUUCUUUGGGUGAAGAAGUGCAUUGAAUUGGCCUCCUUUUCAGUCCAGAUCAAUGGAGAACUGGCCGGUUACUUUAAUAGUUCCAGAGGGCUUCGUCAAGGAUGUUCUCUCUCCCCAUAUCUGUUUGUUAUCUGUAUGGAGGUGCUGUCUAAGUUGCUAAAUAAAGCAGCUUUGGAGAAGAAAAUAGGAUAUCACCCUUACUGUCAAGAGGUUCAGUUGACUCAUCUUUGUUUCGCUGAUGAUUUAUUGGUAUUCUCAGAUGGCAAGAAGAGUUCGGUGGAAGGUAUUCUCCAAGUAUUUAAGGAUUUCGCUGGUAUGUCAGGCUUACAUAUAAGUCUGGAAAAGUCUACUUUGUUCUUGGCUGGAGUAUGUGAGGACAGAGAGGCCAUAUUGGAGCAGUUUCCUUUUGAGAUUGGGACCCUUCCGGUUCGUUAUCUUGGGGUUCCUCUCUUAACAAAGCGUAUGACAUCGAGUGACUAUUCCCCUCUGGUAAAUAGAGUCAAGAAACGUAUAACAACUUGGACGGCACGUCAGCUCUCCUUUGCAGGCCGCCUGCAACUUAUAGGCUCUGUGAUCCACAGUAUAACAAACUUCUGGAUGUCGGUUUAUAGGCUCCCGAAACAGUGCAUUAAAGAGAUUGAUCAGCUUUGUUCAUCGUUCUUAUGGUCUGGUCCGACAAUGAGUACCACAAAGGCCAAGAUAUCUUGGGACAAUGUGUGCAGACCAAAAUAGGAGGGAGGAUUAGGGUUACGGUCAUUGUCUGAAACAAACAAGGUAUGUAGUCUCAAGCUCAUCUGGCGUAUCUUAUCGCAGUCUACUCUGUGGGUUAAAUGGAUUAAACGGUAUCUGAUAAGAAAGGGCUCCUUCUGGAGCAUCAGCGACACAAGCUCUCUUGGUUCUUGGAUUUGGAAGAAGCUACUGAAGUAUAGAGCUCUGGCCAGAUCUUUUGUACAAGUAGAAAUAAGAAGUGGAACUACUACUUCUUUCUGGUUUGAUGAGUGGUCCCCCUUGGGGAGGAUAAUAGACCUCACAGAUAUGCAAGGUUGCAUCGCGC
This 33871-nucleotide long non-coding RNA is filed under the name Brassica rapa (field mustard). RNAcentral's name for it is "long non-coding RNA (BRAP_LNC001163)". Lineage: Eukaryota; Viridiplantae; Streptophyta; Magnoliopsida; Brassicales; Brassicaceae. The record is from RNAcentral.